CCUACGGGUGGCUGCAGUGGGGGAUAUUGCACAAUGGGGGGAACCCUGAUGCAGCGACGCCGCGUGAGUGAAGAAGUAUUUCGGUAUGUAAAGCUCUAUCAGCAGGAAAGAAAAUGACGGUACCUGACUAAGAAGCCCCGGCUAACUACGUGCCAGCAGCCGCGGUAAUACGUAGGGGGCAAGCGUUAUCCGGAUUUACUGGGUGUAAAGGGAGCGUAGACGGUGAAGCAAGUCUGAAGUGAAAGGCAAGGGCCCAACCCCGGGACUGCUCUGGGAACUGUCCGGCUGGAGUGCGGGAGGGGCAGGCGGAAUUCCUGGUGUAGCGGUGAAAUGGGUAGAUAUCAGGAGGAACACCGGCGGCGAAGGCGGCCUGCUGGACCGCGACUGACGUUGAGGCUCGAAAGCGUGGGGAGCGAACAGGAUUAGAUACCCCAGUA
Molecule: ribosomal RNA, 437 nt
Filed under: uncultured bacterium
Lineage: Bacteria
Description: bacterial SSU rRNA
Rfam family: Bacterial small subunit ribosomal RNA
Source: RNAcentral